GAUGAACGCUGGCGGCGUGCCUAAUACAUGCAAGUCGAGCGAACAGACGAGGGCUGUCUUCUCCGGCGUUUACGGCCGGAGGGGGGGGUACCCGGGGGUAACCCACCCAUAAGGUUGGGGUUACUUUGGGAAACCGGAGCUUAUUACGGAUAAUUUAUUGAACCGGCUGGUUCAAUAGUUAAAGACGGUUUUGCUGUUACCUAUAGGUGGAUCCGCGCCGCAUUAGCUAGUUGGUAAGGUAACGGCUUACCAAGGCAACGAUGCGUAGCCGGCCUGAGAGGGUGAUCGGCCACACUGGAACUGAGACACGGUCCAGACUCCUACGGGAGGCAGCAGUAGGGAAUCUUCCGCAAUGGGCGAAAGCCUGACGGAGCAACGCCGCGUGAGUGAUGAAGGUCUUCGGAUCGUAAAACUCUGUUAUUAGGGAAGAACAAAUGUGUAAGUAACUAUGCACGUCUUGACGGUACCUAAUCAGAAAGCCACGGCUAACUACGUG
This 496-nucleotide ribosomal RNA is filed under the name uncultured bacterium. RNAcentral describes it as "partial 16S ribosomal RNA". It matches the Rfam family "Bacterial small subunit ribosomal RNA", at positions 28 to 507 of the family's 1533-position model. The record is from RNAcentral.